UAGAAAGUAGUGUAAUGGAGGCACAGAGAGUUUUGAUCUCUCUAGGUAGGGUUCGAACCCCUUCUUUCUAA
This 71-nucleotide transfer RNA is filed under the name Parapristipoma trilineatum (chicken grunt). RNAcentral describes it as "tRNA-Gln". It matches the Rfam family "tRNA". Rfam says of the family: Transfer RNA (tRNA) molecules are approximately 80 nucleotides in length. Their secondary structure includes four short double-helical elements and three loops (D, anti-codon, and T loops). The record is from RNAcentral. Lineage: Eukaryota; Metazoa; Chordata; Actinopteri; Lutjaniformes; Haemulidae.